Molecule: microRNA, 23 nt
Filed under: Parasteatoda tepidariorum (common house spider)
Lineage: Eukaryota; Metazoa; Arthropoda; Arachnida; Araneae; Theridiidae
Description: pte-miR-193a-5p
Gene: pte-miR-193a-5p
Source: miRBase by way of RNAcentral
CGGGAUUUAGCUGGACUGAUGGA